ACGAACGCUGGCGGCGUGCUUCACACAUGCAAGUCGAACGGAAAGGCCCUGCUUGCAGGGUACUCGAGUGGCGAACGGGUGAGUAACACGUGGGUGAUCUGCCCUGCACUUCGGGAUAAGCCUGGGAAACUGGGUCUAAUACCGGAUAGGAGCCAUUUUUAGUGUGAUGGUUGGAAAGUUUUUUCGGUGUAGGAUGAGCUCGCGGCCUAUCAGCUUGUUGGUGGGGUAAUGGCCUACCAAGGCGGCGACGGGUAGCCGGCCUGAGGGGGUGGACGGCCACAUUGGGACUGAGAUACGGCCCAGACUCCUACGGGAGGCAGCAGUGGGGAAUAUUGUACAAUGGGCGCAAGCCUGAUGCAGCGACGCCGCGUGGGGGAUGACGGCCUUCGGGUUGUAAACUCCUUUCGCUAGGGACGAAGCUUUUUGUGACGGUACCUAGAUAAGAAGCACCGGCUAACUACGUG
This 464-nucleotide ribosomal RNA is filed under the name uncultured bacterium. Its description in RNAcentral is "partial 16S ribosomal RNA". It matches the Rfam family "Bacterial small subunit ribosomal RNA", at positions 29 to 507 of the family's 1533-position model. The record is from RNAcentral.